Non-coding RNA from Cyanistes caeruleus (blue tit), 268 nucleotides. Lineage: Eukaryota; Metazoa; Chordata; Aves; Passeriformes; Paridae. The record is from RefSeq and is a predicted model, not a curated record.
GGAGCAAGCUGGAAUUAAAUAAGUACCAUAACUCUCAUCCCAUAUCUCCUGCACUAGAAGAGGAAAACACUCCAGUGUCAUCACCCCAAGCUGCUGCUCUCCAUAAGAUUCAAAUUCUGUGAGCAGCACCAAGGAGAUCCUGUUUACUUGUGCUUUUAUACAUUGGUUUCAUUUCUGGAGAGUUGGACCCAUGUUUCUGACAGCAAACAGGUACAAAAAAGAUGCUAAAAUGUGGGAGGUAAAAGCUCACUGGCUUUACAAGUUUCAA